This 1374-nucleotide ribosomal RNA is filed under the name marine metagenome. RNAcentral's name for it is "bacterial LSU rRNA". It matches the Rfam family "Bacterial large subunit ribosomal RNA", at positions 1566 to 2925 of the family's 2925-position model. The record is from RNAcentral.
CUUGGCAGGUGGACUCCCAUAUUUCUUCUUUCUCCAUUUUUUCCAAGAAAAGCUCAUCGACUUUGAUAAAAUAAUGCCUGUACCGUAAACCGACACAGGUACGUGGGUUGAAUAAACUAAGGGGAGCGAGAUAACUCUCUCUAAGGAACUCGGCAAAUUGGCUCUGUACCUUCGGAAGAAAGAGUGCCCUGCAUAAGGGCCGCAGUGAAGAGAUCCAGGCGACUGUUUACCAAAAACACAGGUCUCCGCAAAGUCGUAAGACGAUGUAUGGGGGCUGACACCUGCCCAGUGCCAGAAGGUUAAAGAAGUUGGUUAGUUUCGACAAAGCUGACGACUGAAGCCCUGGUGAACGGCGGCAGUAACUAUAACUGUCCUAAGGUAGCGAAAUUCCUUGUCGGGUAAGUUCCGACCCGCACGAAAGGCGUAACGAUUUGCAUACUGUCUCAGAGAGAGGCUCGGUGAAAUAAAAAUAUCUGUGAAGAUGCGGAUUACCUGCACGCGGACAGAAAGACCCUAUGAAGCUUUACUGUAACCUGGAAUUGCUCUCAAGCUUAUUUUGCGCAGCUUAGGUGGGAGACGUUGAACUUCUUUUUCCGGAAAGGAGGGAGUCAUCAGUGAGAUACCACUCUUGGUAAGCUAGAGCGCUCAUUUCUAACCGUUAUCCGGUAGAAAGACAGUUUCAGGCGGGCAGUUUGACUGGGGCAGUCACCUCCCAAAGAGUAAUGGAGGUGUACAAAGGUUCGCUCAGGCUGGACGGAAAUCAGCCAUAGAGUGUAAAAGCAAAAGCGAGCUUGACUGCGAGACUGACAUGUCAAGCAGAGACGAAAGUCGGUUUUAGUGAUCCGACGGUGCUGAGUGGAAAGGCCGUCGCUCAACGGAUAAAAGUUACUCUAGGGAUAACAGGCUAAUCUCCCCCAAGAGUUCACAUCGACGGGGAGGUUUGGCACCUCGAUGUCGGCUUAUCGCAUCCUGGAGCGGAAGUACGUUCCAAGGGUUGGGCUGUUCGCCCAUAGAAAGCGGUACAUGAGCUGGGUUCAGAACGUCGUGAGACAGUUUGGUCCAUAUCCCGUGUAGGCGUUUAGAACAUUGAAAGGAUCUCCCCUUUGUACGAGAGGACCAGGUGGGGACAAUCCGCUAGUGUACCAGUUAUUCCGCCAGGAGUAAACGCUGGGUAGCUAUGAUUGGAGGAAAUAACUGCUGAAAGCAUAUAAGUAGGAAGUUCACCUUAAGAUGAGUGUUCUUUUGUCAUUGAACAAUUGUUCAUACAAGACAGAGAAGGUCAUGGGAAGACUACCCAUUUGAUAGGCGUAAUGUAGACGCUCAGUAAUGAGUUUUGAAGCUGAUACGUACUAAUAGACCGAAGGAUUUGAUUUU